Molecule: long non-coding RNA, 906 nt
Organism: Mangifera indica (mango)
Lineage: Eukaryota; Viridiplantae; Streptophyta; Magnoliopsida; Sapindales; Anacardiaceae
Exons: 3
Source: RefSeq, a predicted model, not a curated record
UUUCUCUCUCUCCUUUCUUAUAUACGUGUGAACAGUUGAGGGGAAUGUUGUCUGGUUCGAGAUAAUUCGAAGAAAGAUAUCUAUCAGAAAAUAGAUACAUGUCCUUUGAAUGAUUUCGGACCAGGCUUCAUUCCCCCCAACUCGGUUUAAUUGCUUCCCAUUAACCAUCACUUAUCGAUGCAUUAUCACCUACAAGUAGUCUUUGGGCACUAAAGAAAAACGACAUGCAGAUAAUGCAAAAAUGGAAAAGCAAGAAGUGGAACCACCGGAUUCAAGAGUCCAAAUUAAGAAAGAAACGAGUGAAUCAGGAUUCAUCGUAACAUCUUCUUUGUCCAAGCUCAUUGCCAAACGGUAUCUACCAGGUGGAACAUAUAUUAAAUCUAUGUGGGCCAACACUACAUGAAAAAAUGAGUAUAAAUCUAACUUGUGAGUCAGAUUUACGUAUGAAGCUCAUAGUUUCAGGUGGGUCAUAACUGCCAGAGGUAAUUGUCACAUGUUUGGCUCCAUUGGCUGCCGCUUGAUUUUUAACCUUUAGAUAAGGAUUACAAAAAAUAUUCUUACGUUAUAUAUAUGAACCUAAUAAUAAUUAAAUCAUUGUCAAAUUUGUGUUACGUUACAGGUAGUGAUCAAUAUGUUGCCAUAUAUUAAUUGCUAUUUGUUGAGAAGAAGUUGUUGUUUUAGUCAAUUGGGAAGAAACCAAGAGAGCUGUGAUUGAGAAGACGUUGGCCUGCUGGUGCAUUUGAAAUAGUUGCUGUGCUAGUCAGUCUUGUUUGCCGUUAGUCCACUAACGUUUGUUGGGAAGUCUUGUAUAAUAGCUGUUGUUAUCUUUAACCAGAAAAUGUUAAGCUUGCUCGUAUUAUAUCCUUGAGUGUACUUUUAGUUUUCCAUAAGAUUUUUCGCUUGAAA